RNAcentral lists this transfer RNA (75 nucleotides) under bacterium. RNAcentral describes it as "tRNA-Met". It matches the Rfam family "tRNA". Rfam says of the family: Transfer RNA (tRNA) molecules are approximately 80 nucleotides in length. Their secondary structure includes four short double-helical elements and three loops (D, anti-codon, and T loops). The record is from RNAcentral.
GGCGCCGUAGCUCAGAGGUAGAGCGCACGACUCAUAAUCGUGUAGUCGGUGGUUCGACCCCACCCGGCGCCACCA